This 254-nucleotide ribosomal RNA is filed under the name uncultured bacterium. RNAcentral's name for it is "partial 16S ribosomal RNA". It matches the Rfam family "Bacterial small subunit ribosomal RNA", at positions 524 to 776 of the family's 1533-position model. The record is from RNAcentral.
GACAGAGGGGGCAAGCGUUGCUCGGAAUCACUGGGCGUAAAGGGCGCGUAGGCGGGAUGGCAAGUCAGUCGUGAAAUCUCUCGGCUCAACCGAGAAACGUCGGCUGAUACUGCCGUUCUUGAGGGAUGCAGAGGAGACUGGAAUUCCCGGUGUAGCGGUGAAAUGUGUAGAGAUCGGGAGGAACACCGGUGGCGAAGGCGGGUCUCUGGGCAUCUCCUGACGCUGAGGCGCGAAAGCGUGGGGGAGCAAACGGG